This 248-nucleotide ribosomal RNA is filed under the name uncultured bacterium. Its description in RNAcentral is "partial 16S ribosomal RNA". It matches the Rfam family "Bacterial small subunit ribosomal RNA", at positions 524 to 776 of the family's 1533-position model. The record is from RNAcentral.
UACGAAGGUGGCAAGCGUUGUUCGGAUUCACUGGGCGUACAGGGAGCGUAGGCGGUUGGGUAAGCCCUCCGUGAAAUCUCCGGGCCUAACCCGGAAAGGCGGAGGGACUGCUCAGCUAGAGGAUGGGAGAGGAGCGCGGAAUUCCGGUGUAGCGGUGAAAUGCGUAGAGAUCGGGAGGAAGGCCGGUGGCGAAGGCGGCGCUCUGGAACAUUCUGACGCUGAGGCUCGAAAGCGUGGGAGCAAACAGG